UUACAUCAGCAGUCAUCUCCAUGAUAAAGUGUGGAUGGCACCACCUUGCCAGGUGCCCAGCUUGGACAUCCUCCAAAACCUAGUGGCUAAUACACGUACGAAACNGUCUGCUGCACCCAUGGCUCUGUUAGCACCACCGUGUGACUGGCUCUGCCAGUAGUGGAUUGCACCCAGCUGCUGAGAAGACCAGCGCCUGGAUAGGGCAGUGUGUUGUAGCUGACUCAGGCUGGUCCCAUUGUGGACAGUUGCACUGGCGGGAUGGUGGCUUCCAAGCCACAGCACUGCUUGAUCACACGAACUUCUGACCUAUCAGCUUGGACUGUGCUGUAGUGGACCACAGUGGCAGUGACGGGUAACAGGGAAUCAGGGUUUGAUUCUGGAGAGGGAGCCUGAGAGACGGCUACCACUACCAAGGUGGGCAGCAGGCACGCAAAUUGCCCAAUGCUGACACAGUCUGGUGAGGCAGCGACGAACUGUAGCAAUCCCGCUGGUCCUCAGUGGCUAGUGGGACUUGGAAUGGAUGCNAUCCAAACACAGNNAUGAGUANCAANUGGAGGGCAAGUCUGGUGCCAGCAGCUGCGGUAAUUCCAGCUCCAUUGGCGUAUACUAACAUUGCUGCUGUUAAAACACUCGUAGUCUGCCACAGGGUCCAGGUCUGGCAGAUGGCUGGCCUGUGGUGCUUCGGCAUUGCAGGCUGGGUAAAACCUCUGUCAGUAUGUCCUGGUCCCAACACUGGAUGCUGAGAUGCUCCUGCAUGAAGCCCUCUUAAGUGAGGGUCAAGGCUAUUCUGCAGUCAGCGCUUGUCUGGGCAGUUCAGGGGCGUAACCUCGUGUUGCCAAUCCUACCCUGGCCCAUAAUCGGAGUUCAGCAUCAGAGCAACCCUGGUAAACUCAGUGUGCUUCAAGCAACCGUUCUGGCUUGUAUGCCAUCCAGUGAAUUGCAGAGCAGCGAUCAGACUUGGCUAAGAGUUGUGCUGGCCUUGGUGCCAAAUCUGAGCAAUGUGGGGCUUCCCCCUGACUGUGGCCUAGCCUCGGCGACAGCCUAUGCCCAGGUGGGGAGUCACCAACCGGACAUGAUGGAAGAGUUCAGAGUGGAAGAUACUGCAGCGCCAGAGGUGAAAUUCUUAGACCGCUGCAAGAUCAACUGCAGCGAAGGCGUUCUGCAAGAGCUCGUUCGUCGAUCAAGAAUGAGAGUGUGGGGAACAAAGAUGAUCAGACACCGUCGUAGUCCACUACAGUAAACCAUGCCAGCCAGGCUUUGGUGAGGCAAGAACCUCUACUUCAUCAGUGCCAUGCCCCCUACACCGAGAAAUCCACAGCCUGUGGNUUCAGGGGGGAGUACUGUCGCAAGGCNGAAACUUAAAGGAAUUGACGGAAUGGCACCACNAGGCGUGGAAUAUGCGGCUUAAUUUGACUCAACACGGGGAAUGUUACCAGGUCAGGACACUGCAAGGAUGGACAGAUUGAGAGCUCUUUCUUGAUUCUCUGGAUGGUGGUGCAUGGCCGCUCCUGAUUGGUGGAGUGAUUUGUCUGGUUGAUUCCGAUAACGAGUGAGAUCUCUGCCUCCCAAUAGCCCCUGUCUCGCAUUUGGUAGAGUGGGCAUAGCCAAUCCCCAGUGGGUCUCGGCCCAUCUGGGGAGGCUACUGCUGCUCGAGAGUACCAGGGCCAAGCUUCUCUGAGGUGCUGUGUGCGCCACCAAGCACAUGCAUGCUAGAGCCAACAGCAGGUCUGUGAUGCUCCCAGAUGUCCUGGGCCGCACGCGCACUACAUUGGUCCAGUGAAUAUGUGAUGCCACUCGCUCGUCGAGUCCUGCCUGGAAGUGGGUGGGAAACCCUUGGAGCCUGGUCCGUACUGGGGAUAGAUGCUUGCAACUGUCUGCCUUGAACGAGGAAUGCCUAGUAUGCGUGAGUCAUCAGCUCACACAGAUUAC
RNAcentral lists this ribosomal RNA (1929 nucleotides) under Phacus platyaulax. RNAcentral describes it as "SSU rRNA". It matches the Rfam family "Eukaryotic small subunit ribosomal RNA", at positions 101 to 1648 of the family's 1831-position model. The record is from RNAcentral. Lineage: Eukaryota; Euglenozoa; Euglenophyceae; Euglenales; Phacaceae.